UACGUAGGGUGCGAGCGUUGUCCGGAAUUAUUGGGCGUAAAGAGCUUGUAGGCGGUUUGUCGCGUCUGCUGUGAAAAUCCGGGGCUCAACCCCGGACUUGCAGUGGGUACGGGCAGACUAGAGUGUGGUAGGGGAGACUGGAAUUCCUGGUGUAGCGGUGAAAUGCGCAGAUAUCAGGAGGAACACCGAAGGCGAAGGCAGGUCUCUGGGCCACUACUGACGCUGAGAAGCGAAAGCAUGGGGAGCGAACAGGAUUAGAUACCU
This 264-nucleotide ribosomal RNA is filed under the name uncultured prokaryote. RNAcentral's name for it is "partial 16S ribosomal RNA". It matches the Rfam family "Bacterial small subunit ribosomal RNA", at positions 524 to 787 of the family's 1533-position model. The record is from RNAcentral.